RNAcentral lists this long non-coding RNA (594 nucleotides) under Mastacembelus armatus (zig-zag eel). RNAcentral's name for it is "lncRNA (ENSMAMG00000028385.1)". The record is from RNAcentral. Lineage: Eukaryota; Metazoa; Chordata; Actinopteri; Synbranchiformes; Mastacembelidae.
AUGGGCGAUUCCUUGCUAUCUGAACCCACCCUCACAGCAGAGCCCGCUCCCUCCCCUGCAGCAGCAACACCCAAUCCUGCAGCGGCAGAACCUGGAGUCUCUCUAGCUCCUCCCACUAGCACAGCAGCUGCCACCUCCCCUGGCGCCGCCAGUAUGGAUCUGUUGGGAGACCCCUUUGUUCCCUCAGAUGGUAACACCAAUACAGCGUCUUCAGGUCUAGACCUUUUCAGCUUGAUGACAGUGGAGAGUAAUAACCCGGGUAGUUCGCUGGAUGCCUGUUUUACCUCUAUAGCUCCCCAACCAGGUCCCUCCCCUUCUCUUUCGCCUCUCCUCACCUCUGCAUCCAGCACCAUCACCACCACUGCAACCAUUUCAGCUCCAAUAUCCCCCAAUGCCACCAAUCCUGCAAAUGACCUUUUCAGUGAUCUCUUUGAUUCCAUGCCAGACACUGGCUUCACCAAAGCAGACCCCACUCCCGGCAUUGACUUGUUUACAGCAGCGGAUGUGUUCAGCUCCCCUGCCCCCAUCCUCUCCUCCGCACCCCCUCCCAAAAUUGACACGGGAGCCAUGAUGAACCUGUUUGGUGCAGUGUGA